GACGAACGCUGGCGGCGUGCUUAACACAUGCAAGUCGAGCGGUAAGGCCCUUUCGGGGGUACACGAGCGGCGAACGGGUGAGUAACACGUGGGUGACCUGCCCUCAGCUCUGGGAUAAGCCUGGGAAACCGGGUCUAAUACUGGAUAUGACUCCAUGACGCAUGUUGUGGGGUGGAAAGCCUUGUGCGGCUGAGGAUGGGCCCGCGGCCUAUCAGCUUGUUGGUGGGGUGAGGCCUACCAAGGCGACGACGGGUAGCCGGCCUGAGAGGGCGACCAGCCACACUGGGACUGAGACACGGCCCAGACUCCUACGGGAGGCAGCAGUGGGGAAUUUUGGACAAUGGGGGCAACCCUGAUCCAGCCAUGCCGCGUGUGUGAAGAAGGCC
RNAcentral lists this ribosomal RNA (386 nucleotides) under uncultured bacterium. RNAcentral describes it as "bacterial SSU rRNA". It matches the Rfam family "Bacterial small subunit ribosomal RNA", at positions 28 to 416 of the family's 1533-position model. The record is from RNAcentral.